Molecule: long non-coding RNA, 1157 nt
Filed under: Sus scrofa (pig)
Lineage: Eukaryota; Metazoa; Chordata; Mammalia; Artiodactyla; Suidae
Description: lncRNA (ENSSSCG00015027645.1)
Source: RNAcentral
AUGGGGAGUAGGAUUUUUCCAAACCUAAUCCCCUUCUCGUACUUCUGUCCUCUGCAGCUUUCCCAGGUGGGUGGGUUGAAGGGGAACAGUGAUGCUGUAAGAGGGUCAAAACCACCCCUUGACAAACAAGGAGAAGAAUAUGAUUUGCUAGAGACCCACCUUUCCCAAGCUCUAGCUGUAGUUUCUCAAGCUUCUCCCUCCGCCCACAGGAAUGUCCUGCUGCACGGAGCGCUGUCUGCUCUUUUGUCAUCUUUGCUGCCUCCCUCCCAACCUUCCUUCCUUGAAAAGGCCCACCUUGGCUUCCAUUUCCAAAGAAUCUUGAAGCAGCUUGCCGGGCCACACUGAAGUUAUUCACAUUUCUGGGUGACGGCUCUUCUGCUGACCUCCUUGGCCAUGAUCCAGUGCAGCAGAUGUGACGCUGAGCACAUCACAAAGCAUCAUGUAAGACAGACCCCAGAACUGCUUGCCCUUUGUUCCUACCCCUUGGCAAAAGGCAAUGUUAACUGCUUGCUUUUGAGCAUGGCUGUAUCUCAGGCAAUCAUUUUUCUUCUUUUUUUUAAUGUUUCUUUUUUUAUUAAUCAAUUAAUUUAUUACAUUUAUAGUUAUACAAUGAUUAUCACAAUCCAAUUUUAUAGGAUUUCCAUCCCACAACCCCAGCACAUCCACCCACCCCCCAAACUGUCUCCUUUGGAGACCAUAGUUUUUCAAAGUCUUUGAGUCAGUAUCUGUCCUGCAAAGAAAUUCAUCUGCCCUUUUUUAAGAUUCCAUANAUAGUUUUUCAAAGUCUGUGAGUCAGUAUCUGUCCUGCAAAGAAGUUCAUUCUGUCCUUUUUUAAGAUUCCAAAUCAGUGGGAGAAUUUGAUAUUGGUGUCUCAUUGACUUACUUCGCUUAGCAUGAUAAUUUCUAAGUCCAUCCAUGUUGCUACAAAUGCCGUUAUUUCGUUCCUUUUAAUGGCUGAGUAAUAUUCCAUUGUGUAUAUGUACCACAUCUUCUUGAUCCACUCUUCUGUCGAUGGACAUUUAGGUUGUUUCUGCAUCUUGACUAUUGAAAAUAGUGCUACAAUGAACAUUGGAGUACAUAUGUCUUUGGGAGUCAUGCUUUUCUCUGGAUAGAUGCCCAGCAGUGGGAUUGCUAGACCAAAUGGUAAUUCUAUUUUU